RNAcentral lists this ribosomal RNA (458 nucleotides) under uncultured bacterium. Its description in RNAcentral is "partial 16S ribosomal RNA". It matches the Rfam family "Bacterial small subunit ribosomal RNA", at positions 29 to 507 of the family's 1533-position model. The record is from RNAcentral.
AACGAACGCUGGCGGCAUGCCUAACACAUGCAAGUCGAACGAGACCUUCGGGUCUAGUGGCGCACGGGUGUGUAACGCGUGGGAACCUGCACUUAGGUUCGGAAUAACUCCCCGAAAGGGGUGCUAAUACCGGAUAAUGUCUUCGGACCAAAGAUUUAUUGCAUCUGGAUGGGCCCGCGUUGGAUUAGAUAGUUGGUAGGGUAAAAGCUUACUAAGGCAACGAUGGAUAGCUGGUCUGAGAGGAUGAUCAGCCACACUGGAACUGAGAGACGGCCCAGACUCUUAGGGGAGGCAGCAGUAGGGAAUCUUCCGCAAUGGGCGAAAGCCGGACGGAGCAAAGCCGCGUGAGUGAUGCAGGUCUUCGGAUCGUAAAACUCUGUUAUUAGGGAAGAACAUAUGUGUAAGUAACUGUGCACAUCUUGACGGUAACUAAUCAGAAAGCAACGGCUAACUACGUG